CGGCGGCGGCGGACGGGGCUGGGCAGAGGCUGCCCUCUCGGCUGGGGAAAUCCUUUCCGGAUCCUAAUAGAGUGAAGACUAGUACAAAGAAAAUUCGUUGUAUAAACAUCCUGCCCAAAAAAGGAAGGUUCGCCCAUACUCCAUCUACAGGAUUCAGUCCUUUGUAGCCAUAUAGAGUAUGCGACAGAACAAUUUGGAAAAUAUUCAUCUAUCAAGUUUAACAACUUUCUGGUGUAACUUCAGAGAGGUUGAUUGCUUAUUCAUGUGGAAGAGCUUUCUGAAACUAAAAUUUCUCUCUGAGGACAGCUGGUCCAUGCCCCUGAGGAAAAAGAUGCUUAUUUCAAGGCUGAGGUGAAAGUGGCAGCUGAACAAAACCUGCUCUUUCAAGGAAGCAGCAAAGCAGCAGUAUAGGACCAGAGCUGGAAGUCCUUCUGCUGUAAAUCCACACCAAUUCAACUAAGACCAAGCACUUGUGAAUAUUAAAUUCACACUAGUGUAGCUGAGAAUAGAAAUGGCCUUUGUUUUUGAAACCCUUGGAGCCUGAAGUGAAAAAAAAAAAUAGGAGCAGGGUUUAACCUUUAAACCUUUCACUGACCUUUAAGCAGUACUUUGGAUUAUAUCUGCCCUUGUUAAUCUGAAGCCACUUGCAAACAUUACUGGCAUUCCUGUUUUUUAAGUAUACUUUACGUACAUUAUAGGAUGGGUUAGCAGUUGAAAAGUUUGGCUCCUGAUCAUUGUGUCUUUAUCACCUUUUAAAGUGAUGCUUAUCUUUGUAAACAAAAUUUUAUAGUUAGCAGCAACACAAGAAAUGCUUUGCGUCAAAGACUAUCAUUUAAGUGAUGGCCAGGCGUAGAUCUAUACUCUUGGAGGUGCAAACCCAUGUGUUGAUCAAGACAUUAAAUUUUGUAGAAUUCCUGUAUUAAUGUAGAGCUCUACGAGGACCAGUUUUGUUAGCACAUCCUUCUAUCACAGAUGAGUAGAAAAUUCUUCAGCAUUUGGUCAGACCAUUAUUUCUUCUUCUUUGCCUUUUCUUUCUUUCACAUUAUUCGCAUCACUUCAUGCACUUUUUUUCUCACAUACAUUCCCCAUACAUAUCUUCAUUUUGCUCUAUUAAAUCCAAACUACAGGUACAAAUAACAUAAAAUGAAACAUGGAUUUAUCUUGGACAAGAUCUCACUAUUCUCAUAAUCUAAACAGAAUUUAAUUAACACUAGAAACAUCUACUUCUUGAUAUAAAUAAAACAGUCUAAAAUUGGUGAUUGUCAUUUCCCCUUUUCAUUCACACAAUGAUUGCAAAAUGUCUUGCCAUUCACAUGGAAAUUUGUCUUCUAAGUACGUCUGUCUUUAGUAGAAAAAUGUCGUGGGCAGAGCACAAAUUUAUGAGAGGAUGUAUAUGUUCAAGAAAUAACUGCUAUUUCAUAUUCUGUGUCCAUCAUUUGGAUCAAGACUUUUCCUGCUGGAUUGUUACAGUAACACAGAGGAACUGAUGCACUGCCCCUCACAUUCAAGCUACUCUUCAAGUGCAGAAAUACUGGCCUUAGAAAUUGACAAAAUUACAGACAAGUUAUUUUGCAUUGAAAUAUGAAAUGCUGAAAAUUGCUGAGACAACCUAGCACAACAGAGGCAUUCAGGCUGAGUCAGUGGGAGAAACACCAUUUAGGUGUUUAGAAAGCUAAAAGUAUGGGAUUUGUUUCCCUGUAAAGUUUUACCAGGACUUGACAUUGUAAAGACAUUGAGUGUCAUAGGCUUUUAAAGAAAUAAAGAGUUGAUAAACAGAGAGCAAAUACUGAAAGGUCUUGUGAUGUAGCUGGUGAAAAGCACCUGUAUUUUAUGUUGGAUAUUUAUUUGAAUAUGAAAAGUGCUAUAAAUUUUUUAUCAUCUCCUCAUCUCUUGCUGUUGCGUGUUGGAGAAUGACUAAAUCUCUGGAGAGGGAUCAGAUCUGUAAAAGUUGUCAGUUAUUAAGACAAGGUAUUCAGUGAAUAAAUGAAUUAUUGUACUGAAGUCCUUUAUUGAAUAUUCCUGUGUCACUGCUUCAGUUAAGUAUCAAGAACACAAGCAUUUAACAAUGUUACUUUAAAUUCAAAAUGCCUUGAAAGUACGGAGAUUCAAUUUGCAAAUGUAACCAAGAAUAAAACAUGUGCCUGGGAUUACAUGUCACUUCUUGGGAUGUUUUGACAUAACACAUUUUAGAAAAUACUUUCCUGUGACAGAAAUGAUUAAAAUAAAUUUCAGUUUUCUAGGACUUCUAACAGAGCCAGUCCAGUUCGUGGUUAGUUUGUUCUCUGCAUCACAGCAAGCACUAGCUGACAUGCUCACUUGUGUUUCAGUGUGGAGGCCAACUGCUUAAGGCUAAAGUGUUAUUGUGUUCCUUGUGUGAAUAAUCCUAUUAGCAGCAAGGGAAUAUAGGCAUGGAAAAAUUGUAAAAUGGUCAGAAGUGAGAAAAUAACCCGACUUCCUUCUCUUUUCUAAAGAUGAUCUGUGUAGUUAUUUUAGACAGACCUCUUGUGUGAUGGUGCCAACAUCUUCAAAGCCUCCAUCUUUUUAUCUCCUCUAAGGGCUACCAGAAUCACACCAGCUCUUCAAUAUUUGUUCAGAUGGGUACACUUAGAAAAGUACAAAAGCAAAUCCAUUCAAUAAUCUGUCUUCUUAAUUUCCAAAAUACUGGCACCAAGAUAGAAAAUGUAAGGAGACACAGGGAGGUACUUUUCUCAGUGUCUUUCAUGGAAAUACACUUCUUCAAGAAAUUCAGUGUAUAAGGACCACAGAGAAUUGUUCCCGAAGAACAACUACAUCCAUAAUGGAAAAUAUACACCAGAAAUUUAGUAUGAAACCUACUUUUAUUAAAUAUAGUUAAAUUAAUUACAGCUUCAGUAUAGAAUUUUAGUAUUACAUGUAGUAUUACAUUAAAAAAAAAUAAUCCAAAUAGGUAAUUCCUACUACAGAGUUAUGCUCAAUUUUGCCACUCAUCUUUGUGGUACUUGCAGAAAUCCAAGAGUGGCAGCUUUGGGUUUAUUAACAAAAUGUCACAAUUAAACUUAUCCAGGAGGACAGGUAAGACUGCCUGUUAAUAGCAACAUUCUCAGAACAGCGUGAUAUGUUCACUGAUCAAAUCACCUGCCUGUCCAUCUAAGCCAGCCAAAUACCAAAACCAAAAAAAGAUUAUUACUUUUUUGCAGUGCACCUGUUCUUAGCACAUGAUGAGAGGAUUGUGAAGACAGUGAUGGAGCAUACAUCAAAAAGCUGUUGCUUCAUGCUCUGUGACUCAUUUGCUGUACCAGGAAUGAAACAGAGAGAAGGAAUUUGGUUGUUGGGAUUAUGAAAUCCAGAACCUGGUUCUGUAACCUGCUGAUGAUAUGGACCUCUGUUGUCAUUUAAACAUGAUUAUAUAUUCACUGUCUUAAUUAAUAAUUACGGAUGUUGCAUGACAUUAUGCUAACACCCUAUCUGAAAAUAAAAUGAGUACUGACAUGUCAAGGACUUGGCUAAAAUGUGUGUUGAUUUCUCUCUGAUUGCUGCUGGAUCUCACUGUUGAUCUGUUAAUCAUUUUAGCUUCACCAGAUGAAACAGAAAGAUGGGGAAAGGCAGGUUCUGCUUCCCACAACAUCCUGGGACUGUUACCAGCUGCACAAGAGAUGGCAGAGGAUGGGCGGCUUUGGCAAAGCAUUGAAGAAACAGUAACCAUGAGCCUCCAACAAAAGAACCUGUGAGCUAAAGCAGUGCAACAGCAGAAGUUUUCUGCCCGCCCUGAUGGGGAGGUCACCCAAUAGAAAACAACCCCUGGCAAAAGCAGCGCAGUGGCCACAAGGUGUGGUCAUUACAGCCAUUAGCACUUCUAGCACGUAAGAGCUGACUCAGUUAUUUCACUGAAAUGGUUGAUUGUGGCACAUUCACUCCCCCAUGCUCUCCUCAGAUUGCCUCUCUGUGCCAAAGAGGUUCAGACCAUCACUCUUUGUCACAAAGGUAUUUAUUUGGUGGGAAGGAUAUCUCAAUCUACAAGAUGUCUCUGCUAGUUUCAGUGCCACUGGAGGAGUAAGGUAUUUAUAAGAGCAGAGUCCAGUAGAGAUGGACUGUUAUUUGACUUAGUGCUUGACAAGUGGCUUUGAGAACGGUAAAGGUAACAAGCUACAUCACAGAAAUGGUCUUUUCCACUUUUUUACCCAUCUCACAGGUAUUUCUAUAUGCUCAGAAUCUUGAAUCCUGCAGAGCUCCCUGGUGAUGACUGGAUAAAAAGAGGAUGUUGGAUAUAUGAGGAAGAAAAGGAAGUACUGGCAUUAAAAAGGGCAGUUAAGAGGAUCAAAGCCUGAGGUAUGAGGAAAGAAGUCCCAUCAUGUGGGAAGGCUCCAUUCUGUUGUAAAGAAAUUUCACUAUGACUUCCUGGUUCUGUUGCUCCACAUUGGGUGACAGACAUGUGACAGGAUGGCUGCUCUGUCCCUGCCAUGCUCAUGCUGAGAUACCUAAGUACUGUGGUUGCUACCUUUUUGAAGGAGCCACGGGACCAAAGAGCAAAAUUCAGCACAGUUCUCCAGCCUGGUGGCUGCAAUGCUUGAGUCCUGUGUUUUGUUGCUGCCUCUACAGUCAACUGCAGCAAGCCCAGGUGAGUUAAUCAACUUUCUGCCUGGUGCACAGCUCUGUUCAUUCUUCUCUGUAUCUGCUGGCAACUCCAUUAUCCCUUAGUUGCCAAAUACUAGGAAAGGCAUGGAUUCCUGAGGUUUUGCAAUGUCCCUCCUAGAGCUACUCACCCCGUGCAUGUAAUUCACUGGAGAGGCAGAUGAAUCAGAGGAGUGUGCACCUCAACCCAUUGGGGCAGGUCUCCCCUCUUAUCAUAGUGUCCAAGCCACCUGGUCAAACAGCCCAAAAGGGGAAGUGGCAUUUCCUAUUCCCAAAAUCUGCUGGGAAUAGCAGUGAGUGUCUGUAAACCAGCCUCAUACAAAAGUCAACCUGAUUUCACAGAAAAACUUGAGUCCAAACUUACUCGAGUGAAGAGUCUUCUCCGGACUCAGUGACUUUGGCUCAUGCACAGGUUACAUCUGGUUCCUAUUUUUAGUGAGAGAUGGACAGUGGAAUGGGAGAAAUGAUGCAGAUACUGUAUCGCUAGUAAGCCUGCAAGAAGAGAUGUGAGUUGUGAGGAAAGGGUUCAGGUCAUCCAGGAAAGGGUAACAGGAAAAGAUGUUGGAUGGGAACUUGGAUGGAUGGGAAAAUGAACACAAAGACACAGGAGGGAAAGUGAUAGAGAUGAAAACUGAAGCAGAAAGAAUGGAAGAACUAUAUCAAUAAAUAACGUGUGAAGAAACUAAAAAGGCAAAUGACAAGGAAGAUUAAUUUUCUAUUUCACUGCCUGAAAGUGUUUGUAGCUACAAGUACAAAUCGACUUGUUUCAUAGGUAAACACAGCAUGUUCACCAUGGGGAAAAAAUGUGAAGAAAUAAGGAAGAAAGAAUAAAUGACCAGUUUUCUUAGUGAAAGUUCUUCGUUCUCUGCUGGAGACCCACAGGAACCUGGGGUGAGAUCUGUAUUAACACAGAAUUACUCAAGAUAGAAAAACUAAAACUUACAUGAAGAAUUAAAGGAAAAAACCCAUCUUGAUAAAUGCCUUUUGAUAGACAUUGAGGUGUUGAAACAUGUCCAGACAAGGGCAAGGGAGCUGAGGAAGGGUCUGGAGCACAAGUCUCAUGAAAAGUGACUGAGGGAACUGGGGGAGUUUAGCCUGGAGAAGAGGAGGAACAGAGGGGGAUUUUAUCACUCUCUACAACUGCCUGAAAGGAGGGUAUGGCCGUGUGGGAAUCAGCCCCUUUUCCCAAGUAAUAAGUGAUGGGUCAAGAGGAAAUGUUGUACCAGGGGAGGUUUAGACUGGAUAUUAGGAAAAAUUUCCUCAUGGAAAGGGUUGUCAAGAAAUGGAACAGGCUGUCUCAAGGAAGUGGUUUAAUCUCCAUUCCUGGAGGUAUUUAGUCGACUUUAGAUGUGACACUUGGUUACAUGGUUUAAUGGUGGACUUGGCAGUGCUGGGUCAAUGGUUGGACUUGAUGAUCUUAAAGGUUUUUUACCAACAUAAAUGAUUCUGUGAUUCUGUUAUUCUGUGAGUGUCUGCAUAAUAAAAUAAUAGUCAAUCUAUUCUAUUUCAAUAAUGCCAAUGCAUGUAGGAAAAACAAACACAUGUACAUGGUUGUGAUCACUAAAUGAACAAUUUCAUCUCAGGAAAGACAUCUUGGAAAGCCUGAUAAAUAUGUCAGCCCUGUGUUCAACAGCAGCAAACCCAAUUAAAAACAUUAGGAAAAUACUGGAGAACAGAACAGAAAGUAUUCUGCUGAUAUACAGUCUGUUGUGUAAAGUCACAUAAUCUCAAAAAACAAUAUGGGUAAACCUAGAAAAAUACACUGAAGGAGAGACAGAAUGGUCAGCUGCAUUGAUUAAAUUCUGAAUGAGGAUGUCUUAAAGAGUAUAAGGUGUCUGUGUGAACAAGAAGUGACUGAAGGUUAACAUAGAAUGUCAUUUCUUCAGGAGACAUAGAGAAGGAAAAUAUUAAAUAUUGCUGACAAUUUAUCACAAUGCAGGAACAAGUGGUACACAAGACAUUACCAGGGAAUAAACCAAUUGAAAGAGAGCUUUUUUCCCCACAGAUUAGGUAAGCUGAAGUGUAGACUCCUUCAUGUCCACAAGUUGUUGCAAAUUCUUAGAGAUAAGUAAAUUUAGUAAAGACUCAGUGAAUUCAUAGAGGGCAAAUCCUGAAACACCUAUUGAAUGCAAAAUCUGGGUCUAUAAUAGUAGCAAGUGAUGAACCACUGUGUAGUUACUUUGGUUUUCUGGAGGCAGAAUAUUGGGGAAGGUUGUUUUGUUGUUCUGUUGUUUUGUUGUUGCUUUGUUCCAAUAUGAUUUUUUUUUUUUUAAUAUUCUGUGAGAUACAAACUAGAAAUGCUUUUAUUUUUGCAGGGAAUGCAGAGUAGCUUUAAGGGAUCUGAACUAAGCAGGAUGCUGCAGGGUAAAAGCUCGAUUCAUUUUGUUCCUGAAGAAAAGGCAGCUUCUUUACCUUCAGCUCUGAGGUAGCUCAGGCAACUUGCUGUAUCAGCCUCACAUCACUUCAUGUCCCACUUUCACCAAUCCUUUGCUGAUUUUCGCUAAUAUUCUGCUACUCAGGAAAAAAUUGGUCUAAAAUUACAGACAAAUAUACAGGAUGAUGAAAUAAACUCUGGUUCCUCAAUUCUAAAACACAACAGUUUUUCCUUUGUUGCUGUGGACCAAGCAGAUCUAGAAUUUGUGAGGUGAGCAUAAUUUAUUCCAGACUCAUGUUGCAAUAGUUUACGUUCUUGAGUCUUUCCAGAUGUACAGAGAGCUGUCUGCUGACAGGAGUUUUUACACAUAUUCCAUCUAAAUCAACACUCCAAAUGCAACAUUGAAGGUGCAGUGAGUUUGUGUGGAUUUGUAGCACUCCCUGGAGGACUCUGUGUCUAAAAACGAAUAAACAUUUCACAGUUCACAGUAAGUGAAAAUUUUCAACAUUUUUGAUGCAUGCAAUAUUGACUGGGGUUCUCAUUUCAAUGUCAGUAUUAUUCCACAGCUAAUAAGUAAUUGGAAAAUAACUUCUUGCAAGUGAAUGAUAAAAGUGAAAUUAAAUCUUUGUAUACUUAGCUGCUGCUUUUUUUUCAUUAGAAACAAAGCAACAAACCAGAAUAUUCAUUGAUAAGUGAAAUAUUUUCCAUACUAAUUGAGAACUACGACAAGAUAUUGAUAUUUUAUAAUCAGAACAAGUAAAAAGAAGACAACUAAACACUAAUUUUGUUACUUUAUAUGUGUUUAGGUUUUGUAAUAUGAUGUAAACUAAUAUAAGUGUCACAGGUCCAGUUGUGAAAAGUUAAUUCUAAAAAGUUAAUUCUACACAAUAUUCAUUGUUACAAGCUGUAAACUCAUGUGGAGAUGACAAUUUCUAAUGAUUAAUCUAAAAUCAUUAAUACAAAGGAAUGACUGAAUAUGGGGUCAAGAUCUCAAAUUUAUUACUUAAGCAGCAAGAUGCUGUUUCUAGAAUAAAGUGACUAUGAAAUGUUCCUGAAAGCUUGGUCAGAAUCCAUCAGUGCAGAUGCAGAAGUGCAAACAUAUUGAUGGUGUGUGUGGCCAGUGUUUACAGAACUCUAUGAAUAAUAAUCUAGAUAAAUAACAUUAGUUAGGGUUAUGAAAACAAACAUCAAAUCAAUCGAGGCCUCCUGCUCAUGCAUAAAUACAAAACCAGCACUUCUGCACUUCUUUGUUUGGGUUCUUUUGGGUGGUUUUUGGUUGGUUGGUUGGUUGGUUUCAGUUAAAUAGGUGUCAGCAGACACGGAUUUAAUCAACCCAAAUUUUUAAAGUUAGAAAUGAUCUGGAGAAAGGCCACAAAAUGUCUCUAACUCUCCAUCACAGUCUUGGUGCCCCCAGUCCCUUGGGGUCAGCAGGCUGCACCUUGCACAGGUGCACUGCCAUGCAGAUUGCAUCAAUGUAGCUCUGCAGCUGGCACAAAGCAAAUGCACAGCCCAAAGAUCAUGUGUGACUACAAAUGUAAAGGGUUGGAAGUAAAGGAAAUUCAAGAACAAAAGAGAAAAUGUCUAUGUUAAUUUAUUUUUUUUGCUCAUGGGCAUUCAGAUGUUUAUUUUUUAUCGAAUGGAAUGUAUGGAUAAAAGCCUUUUUUGAUAUUGCUGUGUGUGAUGCAUUGGGAAGGAGAAGACAGGUAUAAUGUGCAUUUUUUGUAUGUGUGAUGGUCUACAUAAGCAGAAUUUAAUAUGAAAAGAGCAAUUAUAGGGAUUACAUAUCAAAUGCCUGUAUUAUCAUGUUCAGCAUAGCAUGGUUCUGUGCUAAGAGACUAAUUGUGAAAUGGUUAUUUCCAUAUAUGGAUAAGUGAAAUGCACUUAUUUAAUAAUUCUUUAUUUUAUUUCCAGGAAUUUCUGUAAUAUAAACCACUAAAAUUUGCUAUCCAGUUUCUAUUUAAAUAUGGUACUAUUCUUUUACAUUUUGAGGUUCUUUACAAGGCCACAAAUACCAGUAUGUGUACACUAUGAUCCAAGCACAAAUAGUUUAGCAUAGAAGUGAAGGCAUUGGGUCCCCUACUCUACAAACACUCUGAUGCAGAGAGGUUUUAGGGAGCACAGCCUGGGCAAAGGGAGGUAAAUAUUCAAUGUGAGACAUGGCUUUCCAUUAUUUUCUGCAAUAUAAAAUAUUAGGCAACAGCCAAUUGAAUUAUAUGUAGGAUUUGUUAAUGUAUUUUUUCACACCAGCUAAUCAAGCACUUCAGGAGUACCAAUUCAUUUGCUGAUAAAUUUACUGUUAUUUUUUAACAGUACUUACAGGUGUGCAAAUGGUCUCCAGCAACAGUUUUCUGCCUACAUCCAAGUGCCUUUUAGGUGAACAAAACUCCCUACAGCAGACUGUCCUCCCCGUGGGCAGUGACUGGUGUGUCCUGCUUGGGCUGGAAAACCGGAUGGUUUUUAUAAUAAAGGGACACAAAACAUUCCUUGUCUUCUGCUGCAUGGCACAGGAAGGGAUGAAUGAUGGUUUUGCCACCAUGGAAAUUGUGGCAUCAUGAUUUCCUGGGACCACAGGGCCCUCCUGGAGGUAAGUGGGAUAUUGUACGCCAGUAGUGUUGGCAUGGCAUGUUCCAGUGGAAGUGGCCGUCACCAGGGCCAUCAACUGUGGAGCCUGCUAAUAAAUUCUCAUUGAUAUGAACUUGUCUUGACAUCCUUUCUGUAACAUGCUGAUUCAAUCAUGCCUACUCUCUCAGCAACUUAGAAAAAUCAAACACCACUUCUUGGGCAGAAAUUGAAAGGAAAUAUUAAGAUUUUGAGCCAGUAGAUGACAUCCAUUUGUAUAUAGAAACACUUGGAUGAAAGACAGUAGGCAGCAAGGUGUCACCUGGCUGGGACAAUGGGUCUGAAUCAAGUGCUCAGGUUGGACAUGGACGUAAAAAGUCUCUGCCAAAGCUAGGGGCAAUUCAGGGUGUGAUUCGAGUGCCCAAAAGGUCAUUCUCCCAUCAACAUCCAUGCUUUCCAACCUAGCCCUGCAAACUUUGCCACUCUUGCUGCCAGCAGCUCUGCUGCUGUUGUAGAACUUCUCAAGGCACACACCACUAGGGUAGCCUUCAGCAAGGAAAGCAACUAAUGUGCCCAAGUUGUUUUCUUUACUGAAUGCAAUUUUCAUAAUAGUGGAUAUAAUUAUCCAAUGACUUCCCAAAAGAUUAACCCUGUUGUAUGACUAACAACUUGCCACAGCACAUUCUGAAAGCUGAAGAGACAUGUUCUACCAUGUAGUUGCACAUCUGGGAUAUCAAGAAAUACUUUUCCUCACCACAAAUAAGAGUUGGAAGUCUGGAGUCUGAUUCAAACCAUUCAAGGGCUUUUAUCACUGACUCCAAGAGGGACAAGGUCCUGUUGUUAACUCACUUUAUGUCAUAUCUUAGAAGUCACGGAAAAUUUAUGUGCAAUUCCUCAUAUUCUAUGAAAACUUUAAAAUAUAGAAUUAAUAGUGUUUUUUUUUUUUUCUUAGAUAUAGCAACAACUUUUACACAGAAAUGGCACAAAAGAAUUGUUGUUGUAUGAUAUUUGAAAACAUAUAGCUCUGGGAUUUUAAGAUUUUUCUUUGGAACUGGGUAUGGCUGUUCAGUGGCUGAGGAUGGCAAGUAAAUCAGGUACUCUGAGACCUAACAAAAAUUUAUCCUAAAAGCUACUAAUGUUACUAGAUG
This is a long non-coding RNA of Catharus ustulatus (Swainson's thrush), 10689 nucleotides long. RefSeq lists it as uncharacterized. NCBI's taxonomy places the organism in Eukaryota, Metazoa, Chordata, Aves, Passeriformes, Turdidae. The record is from RefSeq and is a predicted model, not a curated record. The transcript has 6 exons.